AGCUUGUCCGAUUUAUUGGCGUAAAGCGAGCCAGGCGUUUCUUAAUCUGAUGGAAAGCCCCGGCUCACCGGGGAAGGUCAUUGAAACUGGGAGCUUGAGUGCAGAAGAGGAGAGUGAAUUCCAUGUGUAGCGUGAAAUGCGUAGAUAUAUGGAGGAACACCAGUGGCGAAGCGGCUCUCUGGUCUGUAACUGACGCUGAGGCUCGAAAGCGUGGGGAGCGAACAGGAUUAGAUACCCUGGUAGUCCACGCCGUAAACGAUGAGUGCUAAGUGUUGGAGGGUUUCCGCCCUUCAGUGCUGCAGCAAACGCAUUAAGCACUCCGCCUGGGGAGUACGACCGCAAGGUUGAAACUCAAAGGAAUUGACGGGGGCCCGCACAAGCGGUGGAGCAUGUGGUUUAAUUCGAAGCAACGCGAAGAACCUUACCAGGUCUUGACAUCCUUUGACCACUCUAGAGAUAGAGCUUCCCCUUCGGGGGCAAAGUGACAGGUGGUGCAUGGU
RNAcentral lists this ribosomal RNA (500 nucleotides) under Enterococcus sp. RNAcentral describes it as "bacterial SSU rRNA". It matches the Rfam family "Bacterial small subunit ribosomal RNA", at positions 539 to 1049 of the family's 1533-position model. Lineage: Bacteria; Bacillati; Bacillota; Bacilli; Lactobacillales; Enterococcaceae. The record is from RNAcentral.